Molecule: unclassified non-coding RNA, 300 nt
Filed under: Coprinopsis sp.
Lineage: Eukaryota; Fungi; Basidiomycota; Agaricomycetes; Agaricales; Psathyrellaceae
Description: partial internal transcribed spacer region
Rfam family: Eukaryotic small subunit ribosomal RNA (bases 1-46)
Source: RNAcentral
AAGUCGUAACAAGGUUUCCGUAGGUGAACCUGCGGAAGGAUCAUUAUUGAAUAAAUCUGAUGUGGUUGAGCUGGCUCUCCGGAGUAUGUGCUCGCUCGUCACCUUUAUCUUUCCACCUGUGCACACACUGUAGUCCUGGAUACCUCUCGCCGCAAGGCGGAUGCAGAGAUUGCCGCAAGGCUCUCUCUGAAUUUCCAGGUCUAUGAUUUUACACACCCCAAUUGAAUGUUUUAGAAUGUCAUCAUAAGGCUUCGUGCCUAUAAACCUAUACAACUUUCAGCAACGGAUCUCUUGGCUCUC